AGUGAACGCUGGCGGUAGGCCUAACACAUGCAAGUCGAACGGCAGCACAGUAAGAGCUUGCGCUUACGGGUGGAGAGUGGCGGACGGGUGAGGAAGACAUCGGAAGCUACUUUUUCGGGGGGGAUAACGUAGGGAAACUUACGCUAAUACCGCAUACGACCUACGGGUGAAAGCAGGGGAUCUUCGGACCUUGCGGGAUUGAAUGAGCCGAUGUCGGAUUAGCUAGUGGGCGGGGUAAAGGCCCCCCAAGGCGACGAUCCGUAGCUGGUCUGAGAGGAUGAUCAGCCACACUGGAACUGAGACACGCUCCCGACUCCUACGGGAGACAGCAGUGGGGAAUAUCGGCCAAUGGGCGCAAGCCUGAUCCAGCCCUACCGCGUGGGUGAAGAAGGCCUCCGUGUUGUAAAGCCCUUUUGUUGGGAAAAAAAAGCAGCAGGUUAAUACCCCGCUGUUCUGACGGUACCCAAAGAAUAAGCACCGGCUAACUUCGUG
This 492-nucleotide ribosomal RNA is filed under the name uncultured bacterium. RNAcentral's name for it is "partial 16S ribosomal RNA". It matches the Rfam family "Bacterial small subunit ribosomal RNA", at positions 29 to 507 of the family's 1533-position model. The record is from RNAcentral.